Non-coding RNA from Ciona intestinalis (vase tunicate), 1764 nucleotides. Lineage: Eukaryota; Metazoa; Chordata; Ascidiacea; Phlebobranchia; Cionidae. The record is from RefSeq and is a predicted model, not a curated record.
UAUCACCGACUUUUGCAAGAAAUGCGGCUGGAAAGAGAAGCAAAUUUUAUGACUUAUUUCAGGAUGCCUCCUGCUGUAUUCGACACAUUACUAAAGCUUGUUGCACCUAAAAUUAAAAAAAAUGACAUCCAACUAUCGCAAGCCAAUUUCAGCAGCCGAGAGGUUGGCUAUAACUCUCAGAUUUCUGGUGACUGGUGAUACGUAUCAAACUAUUGCUUUCUCAUUCCGAACACAUAAGGCUACAGUAUCUAUUAUUGUUCCUGAAGUGUGCAAGGCAAUUUGGGAAAUUUUACAACCACAGUACAUGCCAAGACCAACAAAAGAAAUGUGGCUUCAAAUAACUGAAGGAUUUUUUAGGCAAUGGAACUUUCCAAACUGUAUCGGAAGUAUUGAUGGAAAGCAUGUCAGUUUGCAGGCCCCAGCUAACAGUGGCUCAUUGUAUUUUAAUUACAAGCGUACCUUCAGCGUUGUUCUCAUGGCAUUGGUUGAUGCCAAUUACAAGUUUGUGUAUGUAGAUGUUUGUGCUUACGGAAAGCAAAGUGAUGGGAAUGUGUUUUCAAAUUGUUCACUGUAUAAAGCAAUAUGUACAGGUAAUUUAAACAUUCCAGAAAGUAGAUAUCUUCCUGGUACCACAACUUCGUUUCCGCUUGUACUAGUUGGUGAUGAGGCAUUUCCUCUAAAGGAAUAUUUAAUGAGGCCCUUCCCAAGAAAAUUCCUGAAUUCUGAACGCAGAAUUUUUAAUUACAGACUAUCUAGAGCCAGACGAACAGUUGAAAAUGCUUUUGGUAUUUUGUCAUCAAAAUUUAGAGUUUUUCGUAGACCACUAGCUGUUAAACCAGAACGAGCUAAUGAAGUAGUAAAAUGCUGCACCAUACUACAUAACUUUUUACGGUUUCAUUCUAAUUCGUGUGAUGAAAUCACACAUGACUGUGAGGAUGCUAGAGGUCCAAUACAGGAUUCACAUAUAAUGCUACCAUUAAAAUCAACUGGAGGAUACUACUCAAACAAUGCAAUUCAGUUAAGAGAAGAGCUUGUCAGUUACUUUACAAGUGAAAAUGGAGCAGUCUCAUGGCAAUCAUCAAUUCUUUAAUUUAUUUUUUACAUGUUUAUAUUAAACUCAAUUUUGUGUAGCAGUUCUAAUGAAAGUUGUUGAAAUUUUGCUUGUUGUUAUGGUGUCAUGUCUUGUAGCUUGCUAUUUAAAAAGUCACAAUAAAUUGAACUUGAGUUGCUUGCAGUCAACUCAAUAUCUAUUGGUGCCCUUGCAACUUCAAUGAGGUCUUCCAGUUGGUCCUCGAACUUCCUUUUCUUUUUGGACACAGAUUCGGAGUGUUCUUUACAAAUAAGUCACAUUCCAAAAACAUUGUUGCCAAAUACUCAUGUACCAACUAACCUGAAGUUGAGGACAGACUUUCAUUAAGUUCAGCAGAUGUUGAGCAGGAUGGCUCAUCAUUCUCAACAUCUACGACAACAAUGUUUGAUGCAGUACUGCAAAAAAUAUUUGUUAACUUUUGAAGUGAAUGAAUUUACAAUAGUACCUUCUUGGUUUUAGAUGGUCGUCAAGAAAAGACAUUGUCUCAGAUAAGGUCCAUUUAGCUGUAUGUGUGGCAGCUGCCCCAGACUUGAAACUUGACUGAUGCUUUUUUUUCUAUCGGACAUAUUUGUUGCGUAAUCGUUUCCACGAUUGUUUGCAUUCUGCGACUAAUUUUUUAAAUGUUACGUUGCAAUUUAAUCAGUAUUUUAAUGUAGGGCUUAUAUAUGAUUGAA